AGUGAACGCUGGCGGUAGGCCUAACACAUGCAAGUCGAACGGCAGCACAGUAAGAGCUUGCUCUUACGGGUGGCGAGUGGCGGACGGGUGAGGAAUACAUCGGAAUCUACUUUUUCGUGGGUGAUAACGUAGGGAAACUUACGCUAAUACCGCAUACGACCUACGGUUGAAAGCAGGGGAUCUUCUGACCUUGCGCGAUUGAAUGCGCCGAUGUCGGAUUAGCUAGUUGGCGGGGUAAAGGCCCACCAAGGUGACGAUCCGUAGCUGGUCUGAGAGGAUGAUCAGCCACACUGGAACUGAGACACGGUCCAGACUCCUACGGGAGGCAGCAGUGGGGAAUAUUGGACAAUGGGCGCAAGCCUGAUCCAGCCAUACCGCGUGGGUGAAGAAGGACUUCGGGUUGUAAAGCCCUUUUGUUGGGAAAGAAAAGAAGCAGGUUAAUACCCCGCUGUUCUGACGGUACCCAAAGAAUAAGCACCGGCUAACUUCGUG
Molecule: ribosomal RNA, 492 nt
Filed under: uncultured bacterium
Lineage: Bacteria
Description: partial 16S ribosomal RNA
Rfam family: Bacterial small subunit ribosomal RNA
Source: RNAcentral